RNAcentral lists this ribosomal RNA (421 nucleotides) under Megophrys numhbumaeng. Its description in RNAcentral is "partial 12S ribosomal RNA". It matches the Rfam family "Bacterial small subunit ribosomal RNA", at positions 903 to 1521 of the family's 1533-position model. The record is from RNAcentral. Lineage: Eukaryota; Metazoa; Chordata; Amphibia; Anura; Megophryidae.
AAGACUUGGCGGUGCCCUAUACCACCUAGAGGAGCCUGUUCUAUAAUCGAUGACCCCCGAUAAACCUCACCAUCUCUUGCCAACACCGCCUGUAUACCUCCGUCGUCAACUAACCCCUCAAGGGAAGAAGUUGGUUUAAUGGCUUACCCCAAAAAAGUCAGGUCAAGGUGCAGCGAAUGAGAUGGGAAGAAAUGGGCUACAUUUUCUACCACUAGACUAAACGAAAAAUCACUAUGAAAUCUGAUUGGAAGGCGGAUUUAGCAGUAAAAAGAGAUUAGAGCGCUCUUUUUAAGUAGGUCCUAGGGCGCGCACACACUGCCCGUCACCCUCUUCAACUCUGUACCUCACAUUUUUAAUAAUAUUCAAAGAGAAAAGAAGAGGCAAGUCGUAACAUGGUAAGUCCACCGGAAGGUGGACUUGG